Molecule: RNA transcript, 3793 nt
Organism: Daphnia pulex (common water flea)
Lineage: Eukaryota; Metazoa; Arthropoda; Branchiopoda; Diplostraca; Daphniidae
Gene: Pex23
Gene name: tectonin beta-propeller repeat-containing protein-like
Exons: 13
Source: RefSeq, a predicted model, not a curated record
AUGGUGAUCUCUGCUGUCAAUGGAAACAGUGGAAGCAUUUAUGCCGUCACAACAGAAGGAAAAGUCAUACAACUUUCGAACGGUUUGUGGUCUGAAUUAAACGACGAAUUCAACAAAGAGUUACGUGUUAAGCGCAUUAGUUGUUGCUCGACUGCUUUGUGGGCAAUAUGUGGCGACCAUCAAGUCCAUUUGCGACUGGAGUCGGAGAUCCCGAUUCGUAUCAGAGAGGAAUCUUAUGAAAACCAAAGAUGGAACCCUCUUGAUGGUUUCUCCAAUAAGCUUUUACCCACAGACAGACCAUGUUAUUCAAGCCAAGAUGGUCUGACUGACAGGGAUCUCAAAAGAGUAAAUUUGCCCAGCACAGCAUGGGUGUGGGAUGACCAGUGGCAUCUAGAAUUACUUCACGAAGGACAACAUCUUGAAGCUGAGGGUUGGAUGUAUUCAGUUGAUUUUCCUCGAGCCUAUUCUGCAGCAAAGGCUUGGAACUCCUGUGUUAGGAGGAGAAAAUGGGUGCGAAAUCGUCGAUAUAAUGGCCUUCGUACUUGGGUCACCUUAUCUCCAAUAGUAUUGAAUGAUAUGAUGGAACCGUUCAUUGAUAUUGCAACUGGCGGAUCGGAAAUUCCUGGAGCUGUGGCAGGCUUUGUAGCUGUAUGGGCAGUUACAAUCAACGGUCUUUUGUUAUAUAGAGAAGGAGUUAACUUACUAACGUGCCCCGAUGGCAGUAAUUGGAGGAAGAUUGAAACUCCGCAGGGCUGCGAACCGUGUCAAGUCAGUGUCGGUCCUCAAGGAGUUGUUUGGAUUUUAGCUUGGAAUGGACAGUUGUUAACACGUAACGGAAUAACCUGGAACUGCGAAACAGGCGUUAGUUGGUACGAGGUCCCUCCGCCCUUUAAAGGUAUAUCGUUCAACCACAUCUCUGUGGGUCCCACCUCUUCUUGGGCAGUCAGUCGGGACAACGAGGUAUGGUUGAGAAAAGGACUAGACUCGUCAAUACUUGGUUCGAGCUGGACGGCAAUGAUUGGCCAAAUGAAUUUGGUUUUCACUGGAUCUGACAGUCAAGUGUGCGGUCUUUUGAUCCAAGAUCAAAAACUAUACUUGCGAACAGGCAUAAAGAAUGAAGAGUCUGGAGGACGGUCUUGGAAAAUGCUCAAAACCGAAGACGUGACAUUUGUUUGGCUAGCUUUUGACGGAAAAGGUUUCGUACAACGAUUGGAUGACUGUGCUGAUUCCUAUUGGGUUGAGCCUUGGAGGGGCCAAAUAUUGGAAAAGCUGCGGCAACGUCAUAGCCAGUGGCAGGACAAAUUUGCGGACUACUCCACUGCAGCAGAAACGACUGACUGGAUCAAGAACGGGCGAGCUUUGUUAAAUAAUCGUUGGGUCAAUCUUGGGUUGCGCUGCUGCAGUCAAGAGCCCUUGUUGGAUGUCGAAGACUUGCGGUUGUUGGCUGUCGAAAUCACUGCAAUUCGACGUACUGAAAAUCUGGGACUAGUCAUCCACUAUUUACUAAAUCCACCGAUUAAGCUGCUAUUUGCCAGUGAAGAAGAAGUUGAGGAUUGGGCAGCUCACCUGACCAAAGUGACACGCACGUCGCGACAAAGCACUGGAAUAUUCGCUGAAUCGGUUUGGGCUUUAUCGGACAUGGGCGAUCCUUUUGUUCACGAAACAAGGGUCGAAAAGGAGGAUAAAGAUGUUCCUUGCCAGAUUGAAAUGACUUCAGAUGCAUCAGCUAAUCUAUCGUCGCUGUUUAUCCAUGAUACUCCAGACGGAUUUUAUCGUGGCUGUGGCAUAACCAUUAGCGGCAUAGUGCCAGCCAACGCUUGUCGGUUCUCCGUCAACCUACAGUGUGGUCCAAAGAUCCACCCCCAAGAAGUGUACACUGCCAAAAGAGAUAUAGCCCUACACAUCAACCCGCGUUUUGACACCUCUCCUGGUUCCGUUGAAGUUGUGCGCAACUCCUACUCAAAUAACAUGUGGGAUAUUGAAGAGAAAGCUGGUGAAUUUGAUCUCCAGCCGGGAAACAGAUUUACCAUGUCCAUCAUUUGCCAGAAACAGCAAUAUCUAGUCAAAAUAAAUGAUGUCACCUUUACCUUCUCUUACAGGCUGUCGCCUUUCAGUGUAACUCAUUUCGUCGUCAAAGGCGACGUCAACCUUUUCGAUGUUUCCUAUUCUAUCCCAAAGACUGGCAUACCUUCUCACGCUUUGUGGACCCAACUCGGAGGACACUUUCGACACGUUGAAUCGUCAUCUGGGGGAGUUGUCUGGGCACUUGGUCAAGAUGGCACUUGUUGGAUCCACACAGGUUUUCACGGAGGCGGGUUUUUUAAAGGUGUGUUCGGUGGAAGUUCACAUGGAAUCCAUCCGCUCAGCGACGAGGGACACGUUAAUCUUUACGAAAACCAAAGAUGGAACCCUGUGGCUGGAUUUUCAGCUCGUGGUUUGCCCACUGAUCGACCAUCAUGGAGCGACAUUACUGGUCUUCACGCUUACAAUAAAGAAAACAUGUCACUUCCCAACCGAAACUGGAAUUGGGUUUCCGAAUGGUUGGUCGAUUACCACCCGCCAGAUGGAGCCGAUAGAGAAGGAUGGCAAUAUGCGACUGAUUAUCCUUCUCGUUACCACACAUAUAAAGGGUCCUUUGAUUACGUUAGGCGGAAGCGCUGGCAGCGCAAAUGUCGGUACACUAGUACUGGACCAUGGUUUCAGUUUGGUCUCACUAAAUUACUGGACAUUUCAAUGCAGGUCGAUCACAGCGGACGUCCUGACGAACCAUUGCUAUUAUGGGCAAUCGCAGCUAAUGGUUCAAUUCUUCGGCGAGUAGGAGUGACUGUGAUAAAGCCACAAGGUGAAUCGUGGGAGGCAGUAUUGGGCGAGCAUGCUUUCCAAUCCUUAUCGAUUGGGGUAGACGGGCGAGUGUGGGCAAUUACUUCAUUAGGAGCACCAGCCUUGCGGCACAGAGUUACUUUAGCAAAUCCUGACGGAGUGGCGUGGCUUUUAAUGGACCGACCCGAGGGCAAUCCCACUCUCCGUCAAAUUUCCGCUGGCGACAUUCAAGUUUGGGCAGUGGACUCACAGGAUCGCUUGUAUCGUCGUAAAGAUAUCGUUUCAAUUCUGCCAGAGGGAACUUCAUGGGAACUAAUUGAUGAACACGUUCUUCACGUGUCAGUAGGGAAGCACGACCAAGUUUGGGCUGUGCUGGAUUUGAAGAACAACGAACCUAAAGUGAAAGAGAGGGGUUCAAUUUGUAUCCGAAGAGGAAUUACAGCGUCCUGUCCUGGAGGCACUGGUUGGGAGUUUGUCAUUGGGGGUGGUUGGAGUUUUGUCUGCAAUCGGGGGCACGACAUUCCAUAUUAAUUUUCGCUAGUUUUAAUUUUCAUUUAAAUUUUCAAAAGAGACCAGCCAAUUUUAAAAUUUACUUCAUAAAUUAUCUGAAUGGUUACUUUAAGCCGACUUCAAGGAAUCUCAUUGACGUUCAUAUCUCUCAAAGUUGGCGAACAGAAAGGUGCGCAUUCAUUGCGUACUUCGAACUUCUCACAGGAAGAAGGCUUACACCCGAAAUAUGACCAUUAGAAUAGGCAAAUACCAGUUUCUGUUGUGAAGACAAGUGAAACAUUGACCAAACAGAGGAUGACGAGCCACCUUCAGCUUCAUUUGAAGGCAACAUUAGAGCUAUAAUACAAACAACUGCCACCACAAUGGCAAUAUAAUUUGGUCCAGCAUUUUGAUAACCUAGAAAAUUAUGUGCUUAGUAAAAUCAUUUGGAAAACAACAAUUCAAUAAAUCUCCAACAACCUAA